This 492-nucleotide ribosomal RNA is filed under the name uncultured bacterium. Its description in RNAcentral is "partial 16S ribosomal RNA". It matches the Rfam family "Bacterial small subunit ribosomal RNA", at positions 29 to 507 of the family's 1533-position model. The record is from RNAcentral.
AGUGAACGCUGGCGGUAGGCCUAACACAUGCAAGUCGAACGGCAGCACAGUAAUAGCUUGCUCUUACGGGUGGCGAGUGGCGGACGGGUGAGGAGUACAUCGCAAUCUACUUUUUCGUGGGGGAGAACGUAGGGGAACUUACGCUAUACCCGCAUACGACCUACGGGUGAAAGCAGGGGAUCUUCGGCCCUUGCGCGAUUGAAUGAGCCGAUGUCGGAUUAGCUAGUUGGCGGGGUAAAGGCCCACCAAGGCGACGAUCCGUAGCUGGUCUGAGAGGAUGAUCAGCCACACUGGAACUGAGACACGGUCCAGACUCCUACGGGAGGCAGCAGUGGGGAAUAUUGGACAAUGGGCGCAAGCCUGAUCCAGCCAUACCGCGUGGGUGAAGAAGGCCUUCGGGUUGUAAAGCCCUUUUGUUGGGAAAGAAAAGCAGCAGGUUAAUACCCCGCUGUUCUGACGGUACCCAAAGAAUAAGCACCGGCUAACUUCGUG